RNAcentral lists this ribosomal RNA (456 nucleotides) under uncultured Bacteroidota bacterium. Its description in RNAcentral is "bacterial SSU rRNA". It matches the Rfam family "Bacterial small subunit ribosomal RNA", at positions 49 to 500 of the family's 1533-position model. Lineage: Bacteria; Pseudomonadati; Bacteroidota. The record is from RNAcentral.
UAAUACAUGCAAGUCGAACGGUAACAUUGGUGCUUGCACCAGAUGACGAGUGGCGCACGGGUGCGUAACGCGUAUGCAAUCUACCUUUUACUAGAGUAUAGCCCAGAGAAAUUUGGAUUAAUCCUCUAUAAUAUCUUUUAAUUUCAUGAUUUUAAGAUUAAAGUUUUAACGGUAAAAGAUGAGCAUGCGUCCUAUUAGUUUGUAGGUGAGGUAACGGCUCACCUAGACUACGAUAGGUAGGGGCCCUGAGAGGGGGAUCCCCCACACUGGUACUGAGACACGGACCAGACUUCUACGGGAGGCAGCAGUAAGGAAUAUUGGACAAUGGACGAAAGUCUGAUCCAGCCAUGCCGCGUGCAGGAUGAAAGCCCUAUGGGUUGUAAACUGCUUUUAUACAGGAAGAAACACUCCGACGUGUCGGAGCUUGACGGUACUGUAAGAAUAAGGAUCGGCUAA